AGUGAACGCUGGCGGUAGGCCUAACACAUGCAAGUCGAACGGCAGCACAGUAAGAGCUUGCUCUUACGGGUGGCGAGUGGCGGACGGGUGAGGAAUACAUCGGAAUCUACUUUUUCGUGGGGGAUAACGUAGGGAAACUUACGCUAAUACCGCAUACGACCUACGGGUGAAAGCAGGGGAUCUUCGGACCUUGCGCGAUUGAAUGAGCCGAUGUCGGAUUAGCUAGUUGGCGGGGUAAAGGCCCACCAAGGCGACGAUCCGUAGCUGGUCUGAGAGGAUGAUCAGCCACACUGGAACUGAGACACGGUCCAGACUCCUACGGGAGGCAGCAGUGGGGAAUAUUGGACAAUGGGCGCAAGCCUGAUCCAGCCAUACCGCGUGGGUGAAGAAGGCCUUCGGGUUGUAAAGCCCUUUUGUUGGGAAAGAAAAGCAGCAGGUUAAUACCCCGCUGUGCUGACGGUACCCAAAGAAUAAGCACCGGCUAAAUUCGU
Molecule: ribosomal RNA, 491 nt
Filed under: uncultured bacterium
Lineage: Bacteria
Description: partial 16S ribosomal RNA
Rfam family: Bacterial small subunit ribosomal RNA
Source: RNAcentral